Molecule: ribosomal RNA, 407 nt
Filed under: uncultured prokaryote
Also listed under: 1 other name
Description: bacterial SSU rRNA
Rfam family: Bacterial small subunit ribosomal RNA
Source: RNAcentral
UGGGGAAUAUUGCGCAAUGGGGGAAACCCUGACGCAGCAACGCCGCGUGAAGGAUGAAGGUUUUCGGAUUGUAAACUUCUUUGAUGAGGGACGAACACAAUGACGGUACCUCAAAAACAAGCCACGGCUAACUACGUGCCAGCAGCCGCGGUAAUACGUAGGUGGCGAGCGUUGUCCGGAAUUACUGGGUGUAAAGGGCGUGUAGGCGGGAAAGCAAGUCAGAUGUGAAAUACCGGGGCUUAACUCCGGGGCUGCAUCUGAAACUGUUUUUCUUGAGUGUCGGAGAGGAAAGCGGAAUUCCUAGUGUAGCGGUGAAAUGCGUAGAUAUUAGGAGGAACACCAGUGGCGAAGGCGCCUUUCUGGACGGUGUCUGACGCUGAGGCGCGAAAGCCAGGGGAGCGAACGGG